UUGAAGUUAUUAAUUCCCACUCAGAAUACUUGUUUAAAACAGAGUUUGACAGUCCUGCGGCGGGCACACGAGAGCCCGUUUUACGGGGCCGACGGCGGCGCGCCGGUAAGGGCACGCCGGCGACCUGCCGAGGCAACAGAGGUAUGAUAGACAUAGGGUUGGAGGUCGGGCCCCGGAGGACCCUUUCUCAGUAAUGAUCCUUCCGCAGGUUCACCUACGGAAA
Molecule: unclassified non-coding RNA, 223 nt
Filed under: uncultured fungus
Lineage: Eukaryota; Fungi
Description: sequence contains ITS1
Source: RNAcentral